GCUCCCACCAACCAACGGGCCGUCGUUCGUUCCCUCCCCCCUCCCCCCGCGCCGCCGCCGCCGCCGCGCCACCAUGCUCCGCCUCCGGUGCUGCAUCCUCGCCCGCCUCCGCUCAUCUCCCGCCACCUCUCAGGGCUCCUAUCUCCACCGCGCCAUCUCUGCCGCCGCCGCCGCGCCCGUCAUCUCCCCAAACCCUAGCUUCGCCGUGGACGACUACCUCGUCGAGACCUGCGGCCUCACUCGAGCGCAGGCACUCAAGGCCUCCCCCAAGCUCUCCCACCUCAAAUCCCCCACCAAGCCCGACGCCGUCCUCUCCUUCCUCGCCGCCCAGGGCUUCUCCAGCUCCGACGUUGCCGCCGUCGUCGCGGGAGACCCCAAGGUACUCUGCUCCAGAGUGGACGGAUACCUUGGCCCCGUCGUCGCCCAGCUCACCGGCCUCGGUCUCUCGCGUUCUCAGAUCGCGCGCCUCAUCUCCUGCUGCCACGGCAACUUACAUCUCACAUCCAUCGUCUCCAAGCUGCAGUACUACAUGCCCCUCUUCGGUUCCAUCGACAACACCCUCCGAGCUCUCAAGGGCCACUUUUACCUUAUCUCGUCUAACCUUGAGAGGGUGGUCAAGCCCAACGUCGCAACCCUGCGGGACUCGGGGCUGGGUGAUUGCGACAUUGCCAAGUUGUGCUUAGCUCAUACACGGCUGCUCACCACCAGUGUAGAAUCCAUCCGGGCAAUCGUGGCAUGCGCUGAAAGUCUUGGUGUGCCCCGUGGAUCUCGGAUGUUCAGGCAUGCGGUGUGUGCUGUUGCAUUCCUCGGCGUGGACAAGAUCGCCGCCAAAGUGGUGUAUUUGAAGAAAACCUUUAGGUGGUCAGAUGCUCAGGUCGGCAUUGCUGUGUCCAAGUUUCCACCCUUGCUGAGGAGGUCUAAGGAUUCUCUGCAGAGGAGGUCAGAGUUCCUCAUCUCUGAGGUGGGGCUGGAACCGACAUACAUUGCUCAUCGUCCGAUGUUGCUCUCUUACAGCCUGGAGGGCCGGCUCAGGCCCCGGUACUAUGUUGUAAAGUUUCUCAAGGAAAACGGAUUUCUAAAUCAUGACCGGGAUUACUAUAAUACACUCAAUAUCAGCGAGAAGACAUUCAUGGAGAAGUUCGUAUGUCCUCAGAAGGAAGCUGCACCCCACCUCGCUGAAGACUAUGCCGGUGCUUGCAGAGGGGAAGUGCCCACUAGAUUCAGAAUUGCAUGAACAAAGAAUGGGUAUGAAACUUGGUAACUUGGUAUGGCACAAAAAAAACACUCUGCAUGUUAGGCUGUUAUUAAUUCCUUUUUUUCUUAGCAGGAAGGCUGUUAUUAAUUCCUAAGUUGGUGAUCUUGGCCUAACUGAGUGAUGGUUGUCUGCUAUAGUAUGUUUGUUAGAUAUAUAUGCUGAUCUUUUAUUUCUAAUCCAGGCUGAAACUGAUAAUUUGAUUUGUGAGUCGUUGUAUGUUCAUUACAUCAUUCAGUAGAGAAGAGCAUCACACUGCCCUCUUGUCUAUUCCCAUGUCAUAUUGACACAUAUAUUGCAACUAAGAGAGUGUGAGAUCACAGAUUAGUGCAUCCUGCAAAUGCUUUCAAGUAUCAGUGAGUAGUGUAUCUGCGCACUCUAUCUUUGUGUUCUCAGUGCUAUCCUUCAUCUCUUUCCAUGAAAGAAGGUUCUCAUUUUGGCCAUGAAGAUGAGAUGAAGUCUCAAAAUAUCCCUUUGUAUGUAAAUUUUGGACUCCUUUUUUUUUUUACUGGGGAACGAUUUUGUAUUUGUUAUGACCAGAAUGUGUCUUUUGACAAUCAUGACCACAGUGUGUUGAUCACUGCCAAGGAUGCAGUUUGGAUCUAGUAUGUUGGUUGCUGCUAUAGUUCUUCUAAGCUGAAAAUCUUCGUUUGUAAGAUAUUAAUUGUUGUGAAAGAUGGUCAUUUUUCACUACUAGUUUGUAAUUGUUUCUUGUUUAUUUUUCUCUUGUAAUUUUUGGAUGGCCUAUCGCCUGUUACUUUUCCUUGGUGCAUCUGAUCUGAAAACAGAAUGGUGCAGUAGUAGUGUAGCAACUAUGUAAUGGAAAUUUCAGGGGAGGCGGAUUGCUGCUUGUAUGGUACAGUGCUGAAAAGGGGAGGUCAUUUCAUACAAUAAAGGAACUUAUGUUAAUCAAGCAUUAUCUAUACAGAUGUUCAGGACAUCUUUAUCCCUUGGCAUGCUUUUUAGGAUAGUAAGGUGGGUCUUAUGUACCAUCCUCUGUUUUAUACCUUUUGCAUUUUUAGAUUCUCUCUUAUAUAUUCUUUAUUCUGUUUGCUACAAUUUCUUCAGAAGACAUGUAUGCUGAAAUUUGAGAAAAGAGAAUGAAGAUGUUGAAGACUGUUACCUUAGCCAAGAGAUGUUCCCAGAUAUGAUACCAAGCCUGGUAAUACAAUAUUUUCUUAGUUCUGCUGAAUAUCACAUCAUCUAUUUAGUUAAAUCUCAGUCUAGGUAUGCAAGUACUAACUUUCACAUAUAGUGUAGUUGUAGAAUUUUGCGGAAUUUCAAACACAGGAAUAGUAGAAAAAGUUGUGUACCUCAAACUAAGAACCAAGCUAUGUAAUGAUGGUGCACAUGUGUUCCUGAUGUGAGGCUGUAGAUGUUGGAAAUGGAGGAAAUGAGAUCUCAGGCAUGUGCUUGCAGUUGCAGUAGCACAAAGGAGAUUGUGGCCAAGUGCUCUGGUUUGAAGAUCAUUCGUGUGCCUCUUCUCUGCUGCUUGUGGAAUUGUAGAAACAGAGAUUAAUGUGAUGCAUGUGAGGGACCAGUAAAGUGACUUACCAGGUGAGCAAAAAGUGGAGGGGCAAUAUGAGCAAGCUGAACUGCUGACGGUGCUGACUGCUUAAACUGGAUACAUACAGAGGGUGCUUCCUUCUUCCAGGGUAUUGACAAAGCCUGACUGCUAUGGAUCUGCAUCUACAUGACUCCAAGCCUCCGUUGGCGGACCAGCUUCAGUUCAGGGUGAGGUUCGGGGCAGAGGAGGAUCUUAGUCGAUGCUACUCUAGUUGAUAAUGCCCUGAAGCUUCCUUCAGUACCGGGUAUGACCUGACGGCGUGUGAGUUUUGUAUUCAGAGAAAAAAACUCCUACCUUUCCUUAUUAGGAUUCCGCCGGCUGUGCAAUCCUUCCUUUUAGUCCUGUGCAAGGUGCCGUGCAUGCUUCAACCCACCUGCCUCAUGCCGGAUUUCAUCAACUCAGCUGAGUGUGGCAGCCCAGAUAAACAAGUAGAGUAAAGUUGCUUUUGAUCGGUUCGUAUA
This is an RNA transcript of Triticum aestivum (bread wheat), 3280 nucleotides long. It is a transcript of the gene named transcription termination factor MTERF15, mitochondrial, with no coding region annotated. The record is from RefSeq and is a predicted model, not a curated record. The transcript has 2 exons. NCBI's taxonomy places the organism in Eukaryota, Viridiplantae, Streptophyta, Magnoliopsida, Poales, Poaceae.